UACAGAGGUCUCAAGCGUUGUUCGGAUUCAUUGGGCGUAAAGGGUGGGUAGGCGGCGCGGUAAGUCGGAUGUGAAAUCUCGGAGCUUAACUCCGAAACUGCAUUCGAUACUGCCGUGCUUGAGGACUGGAGAGGAGACUGGAAUUUACGGUGUAGCGGUGAAAUGCGUAGAUAUCGUAAGGAAGACCAGUGGCGAAGGCGAAUCUCUGGACAGUUACUGACACUGAGGCACGAAGGCCAGGGGAGCAAACGGG
RNAcentral lists this ribosomal RNA (253 nucleotides) under uncultured bacterium. RNAcentral's name for it is "partial 16S ribosomal RNA". It matches the Rfam family "Bacterial small subunit ribosomal RNA", at positions 524 to 776 of the family's 1533-position model. The record is from RNAcentral.